RNAcentral lists this ribosomal RNA (408 nucleotides) under uncultured bacterium. RNAcentral describes it as "partial 16S ribosomal RNA". It matches the Rfam family "Bacterial small subunit ribosomal RNA", at positions 28 to 526 of the family's 1533-position model. The record is from RNAcentral.
GACGAACGCUGGCGGCGCGCUUAACACAUGCAAGUCGAGCGAAGCGGCGGACGGGUGAGUAACACGUGAGUAACCUGCCUUAGACAUUGGGAUAGCCUCGGGAAACCGGGAUUAAUACCAAAUAGUCUAAGAUGGACUCGCGUCCCAUUAGCUAGUUGGUGAGGUAACGGCCCACCAAGCCGACGAUGGGUAGCCGGUCUGAGAGGCUGAACGGCAACAUUGGGACUGAGACACGGCCCAGACUCCUACGGGAGGCAGCAGUAGGGAAUCUUCCGCAAUGGACGAAAGUCUGACGGAGCAACGCCGCGUGAGUGAUGACGGCCUUCGGGUUGUAAAGCUCUGUUGAUCGGGACGCGGUACCGGAAUAGAAAGCCACGGCUAACUACGUGCCAGCCGCCGCGGUAAUAC